RNAcentral lists this ribosomal RNA (253 nucleotides) under uncultured bacterium. Its description in RNAcentral is "partial 16S ribosomal RNA". It matches the Rfam family "Bacterial small subunit ribosomal RNA", at positions 524 to 776 of the family's 1533-position model. The record is from RNAcentral.
UACGUAGGGUGCAAGCGUUGUCCGGAAUUAUUGGGCGUAAAGAGCUCGUAGGCGGUUUGUCGCGUCUGCUGUGAAAACUCGGGGCUUAACCCCGGGCCUGCAGUGGGUACGGGCAGACUAGAGUGCGGUAGGGGAGACUGGAAUUCCUGGUGUAGCGGUGAAAUGCGCAGAUAUCAGGAGGAACACCGGUGGCGAAGGCGGGUCACUGGGCCGCAACUGACGCUGAGGAGCGAAAGCAUGGGGAGCGAACAGG